RNAcentral lists this ribosomal RNA (460 nucleotides) under uncultured bacterium. RNAcentral's name for it is "partial 16S ribosomal RNA". It matches the Rfam family "Bacterial small subunit ribosomal RNA", at positions 338 to 795 of the family's 1533-position model. The record is from RNAcentral.
CCUACGGGUGGCAGCAGUGAGGAAUAUUGGUCAAUGGGCGUAAGCCUGAACCAGCCAAGUCGCGUGAGGGAUGAAGGUUCUAUGGAUCGUAAACCUCUUUUAUCAGGGAAUAAAGUGUGGGACGUGUCCUAUUUUGUAUGUACCUUAUGAAUAAGGAUCGGCUAACUCCGUGCCAGCAGCCGCGGUAAUACGGAGGGUGCGAGCGUUAUCCGGAUUUAUUGGGUUUAAAGGGUGCGGCGGCGGCCUUUUAAGUCAGCGGUGAAAGUCUUUGGCUAAACCAUAGAAUUGCCGUUGAAACUGGGGGUCUUGAGUAUGUGUGAGGCAGGCGGAAUGCGUGGUGGAGCGGUGAAAUGCUUAGAUAUCACGCAGAACCCCGAUGGCGAAGGCAGCCUGCCAAGCCAUGACUGACGCUGAUGCACGAAAGCGUGGGGAUCAAACAGGAUUAGAUACCCUUGUAGUC